Molecule: long non-coding RNA, 2505 nt
Filed under: Phaseolus vulgaris (common bean)
Lineage: Eukaryota; Viridiplantae; Streptophyta; Magnoliopsida; Fabales; Fabaceae
Description: long non-coding RNA (PVUL_LNC004823)
Source: RNAcentral
UUGAAAUCUGGUGACAUAAAGGUUCAAAUUGAAGAUGAUAACGUGCUUUUGAUUAGCGGGGAGAGAAAGAGAGAAGAAGAAAAAGAAGGGGUGAAUUUUCUGAGAAUGGAACGAAGGGUUGGGAAGUUCAUGCGGAAGUUUGUGUUACCUGAAAAUGCAAACACUGAUGCAAUCUCUGCUGUGUGUCAAGAUGGGGUGCUCAGCGUUACCGUGCAGAAAUUGCCUCCUCCUGAACCUAAGAAGCCAAGGACUAUUCAGGUCAAAGUUGCUUGAGAUUGAAGAACUAAACAAAUUGUGUCUGUUAGAGCCCAAAAGUUGUUUAAGUUUCACUUGUUUCAAGAUGUUUUUGCUUGAUUUGGUUACAAGUUCUUAUUAAUGUCAUUUCUUGCUUUGUAGUUUUGUGAUAAUAUCAGCAGUGAUUUUGGUUUGAUCAUCUUUUCAGUUGCUGUCCAAUUUCUAUUUUUUUCAUCCUUUUUUGACAAAUCCCUCACUUGUCAUGUGUUAUACUCAGGGAAUAGCAGAAUUUAAUUUAGAACAAUAUAUAUAUUGAUCUUUUAAAUAUCAUGAAUGUUACAAACGGAUCUUUGUAAUAUCCCAAGUUCGGUUUCAAGAACUUAAACAAUAGCCAAGUUUCAUCUUAAAUAUUUUCUAAUGAUUCAAAAGCUUUUAUCAUGAAAUUUCAGGUAGUAGAGGCUUAUGAAACAGAGUCGUGAAUGUUUAUAAUAUUAACAUAAAAUAAAAGAUAAAACACUUUAAAAAGAAGAAUAAAGUUUAGGAAAAUACCCUUUUGACAUCACUGUUAAAAAAAAUAUCCACCUUACAAUUAUUUUUUGAAAUAAUAUAUUAUAUUGUAAUAAAGUAAUAAUUUAUUUAAGUAUAAGGUGAAUGUAAUUUACAUUCAUAGUCAUAGGUGUUACAGUAUCUUUAAGAUUUAUGGUAAGGAAUCCUACAUAUAAGUUUCUUUGUUAGGUCACAUUCUUGUUAAAAGCUACAAUUGGACCACUCCAUUUCCUUCUUAUAUUUGUUAAAAGGUUAAAAAAAGUUUUUAUAUAUUUUAAAAUUAUAUGUAAUAUCUCUGUUUUUUAAUUUAUAACUAUAACUCUUAUAAAAACCAUGUUAUAAUGUUUCUAAGUAAAUAUGAUUAAACAAUCAGAGAAUGUUCUGUAUGUUAAGAAAAUAAUUGUUAAAGUCUAUAAAGAAAAGGAAAUUGUCAGAUUUUUUAACCAUAAAGUUACGAGAUAUAACAAAUUUUAAUUCAGGAAUUAAACAAAUGAAUCAAUCAAUCAACUUUCACACAAUACUCCACCUUCCUCCGUUCCUAUUUAAUUAUUAUUUUUAUUCAAAUUUGCUUUUAUUUAUCUAUCAUGCAUGAAGUUUAAAACUAUAUUGAUUACAUUAAUUAUCAUUGUUUAUUAAUUAUAUUUUGCUUCACAUUCUCUUAUUUGGAGAAGAGAAAAUUUGAUAUUUUAUAAAAAUAAUUAUUUUUUAGUAAUUGUUUAUCGAAAAAGAAUAUAAGUAUUAUUUAAAAAAAUUAAGAAUGUAUUAGAACUUAUAAAAGUGAAUAUUUUUAUUAGUUUAUUCCAUUGAACUUAAACGUAUUAAGGAGAAAAGGGGAUAAUAAUAAUAAUCACUUCAAUAUUCUGGAAGUCAUUGGAAGGAUCGAGAAAGUCAAAGACCACUAACAUAACUUAAGCGACUCUACUUUUCAGAAACUUCUAUUUCCGACAUACCUGCUAUCUUGUUCUUCCAGAAACUUCUAUUUGCAAUUAGCGCUAUUAGUUUUCAUCAGAAACUUCCAUUUCUUUCUGGAACAAUGUACAUUCCCCAUUUAAAAAGCCACCUACCUUCUUCCCUGUCAAGAAACAUUCACAGAACAAAAUCUCAAACAAAAGUCUUGGCUUUCUAAGCAGUGUUUUUUCGUAUCAAAGUGAUGGAUUUGAGGGUCAUGGGUUUGGAAUCUCCUCUGUUCCACACGCUGCAUCACAUCAUGGACAUGUCGGAGGAGGGUGCAGGGGACAAGGCACACAAUGCUCCGACACGGUCAUACGUGCGGGACGCGAAAGCUGUGGCUGCAACACCUGCGGAUGUGAAGGAAUAUCCGAAUUCCUAUGUGUUCCAGAUCGACAUGCCGGGUUUGAAAUGUGGGGACAUAAAGGUUCAGGUUGAAGAUGAUAACAUGCUUUUGAUUAGCGGAGAGAGAAAGAGGGAAGAAGAGAAAGAAGGGGCAAAGUAUCUCAGAAUGGAAAGAAGGGUUGGAAAGUUCAUGCGCAAGUUUGUGUUACCUGAAAAUGCAAACACUGAUGAAAUCUCUGCAGUGUGUGAAGAUGGUGUGCUAAGUGUCACUGUGCAGAAAUUGCCUCCUCCUGAGCCUAAGAAGCCACGGACUAUUGAAGUUAAGGUUGCUUGAGCUUGCUGGACUUUUUAAGAACUAGAUAAAUAAAGAUAUGAAGAGAGAAGAGAAGUGAUGUUGUGUGAAGGGCAAGAGGGUUGCCUCUGUUUGAGUUU